This 632-nucleotide ribosomal RNA is filed under the name Dicrateria rotunda. Its description in RNAcentral is "SSU rRNA". It matches the Rfam family "Eukaryotic small subunit ribosomal RNA", at positions 637 to 1273 of the family's 1831-position model. The record is from RNAcentral. Lineage: Eukaryota; Haptophyta; Isochrysidales; Isochrysidaceae.
AAUUUCGGGGCGGCUUCGUCCUCUGCCGAUGGGUAUGCACUGACGCGGGCGUCCUUCCUUCCGGCAGACGCGUCCUACUCUUAGCUGAGCCGGGGCGUGGAGACGGACUCGUUUACUUUGAAAAAAUCAGAGUGCUUCAAGCAGGCAUCAUCGCUCUUGCAUGGAUUAGCAUGGGAUAAUGAAAUAGGACCUUGGUGCUAUUUUGUUGGUUUCGAGCACCGAAGUAAUGAUUAACAGGGACAGUCAGGGGCACUCGUAUUCCGCCGACAGAGGUGAAAUUCUCAGACCAGCGGAAGACGAACCACUGCGAACGCAUUUGCCAGGGAUGUUUUCACUGAUCAAGAACGAAAGUCAGGGGAUCGAAGACGAUCAGAUACCGUCGUAGUCUUAACCAUAAACCAUGCCGACUAGGGAUUCGAGGAUGUCCACUUUUGACUCCUUCAGCACCUUACGGGAAACUAAAGUCUUUGGGUUCCGGGGGGAGUAUGGUCGCAAGGCUGAAACUUAAAGGAAUUGACGGAAGGGCACCACCAGGAGUGGAGCCUGCGGCUUAAUUUGACUCACACGGGGAAACUUACCAGGUCCAGACAUUGUGAGGAUUGACAGAUUGAGAGCUCUUUCUGAUUCAUGGG